Molecule: ribosomal RNA, 426 nt
Filed under: uncultured Pseudomonadaceae bacterium
Lineage: Bacteria; Pseudomonadati; Pseudomonadota; Gammaproteobacteria; Pseudomonadales; Pseudomonadaceae
Description: bacterial SSU rRNA
Rfam family: Bacterial small subunit ribosomal RNA
Source: RNAcentral
GGGGAAUUUUGGACAAUGGGGGCAACCCUGAUCCAGCCAUGCCGCGUGAGUGAAGAAGGCCUUCGGGUUGUAAAGCUCUUUCGGACGGAAAGAAAACGGAUGGGUUAAUAUCCAGGAAUUUUGACGUUACCGACAGAAUAAGCACCGGCUAACUUCGUGCCAGCAGCCGCGGUAAUACGAAGGGUGCAAGCGUUAAUCGGAAUUACUGGGCGUAAAGCGCGCGUAGGUGGUUCGUUAAGUUGGAUGUGAAAGCCCCGGGCUCAACCUGGGAACUGCAUCCAAAACUGGCGAGCUAGAGUAUGGCAGAGGGUGGUGGAAUUUCCUGUGUAGCGGUGAAAUGCGUAGAUAUAGGAAGGAACACCAGUGGCGAAGGCGACCACCUGGGCUAAUACUGACACUGAGGUGCGAAAGCGUGGGGAGCAAACA